AGAAUCAACGGCCUAACACAUGCAAGUCGAACAAGAAAGGACUUCGGGAAACCGAGGCUAAUACCGCAUAAUACCCACGGGUCAAAGGAGCAAUUCGCUUCGGUAUCCGGCCUGAGAGGGCGCACGGACACACUGGAACUGAAACACGGUCCAGACUCCUACGGGAGGCAGCAGUGGGGAAUUUUGCGCAAUGGGGGAAACCCUGACGCAGCAACGCCGCGUGGAGGAUGAAGUCUCUUGGGACGUAAACUCCUUUCGAUCGGAACGAUUAUGACGGUACCGUUGUUCGGAAUUAUUGGGCGUAAAGGGUGCGUAGGCGGUUCGGUAAGUUUGAUGUGAAGAGUGGAAUUUCCGGUGUAGCGGUGAAAUGCGUAGAUAUCGGAAGGAACACCUGUGGCGAAUCUUCGGGCUCAACUCGAAGUCUGCAUCGAAAACUGCCGGGCUUGAGUGUGGGAGAGGU
RNAcentral lists this ribosomal RNA (460 nucleotides) under uncultured bacterium. Its description in RNAcentral is "bacterial SSU rRNA". It matches the Rfam family "Bacterial small subunit ribosomal RNA", at positions 87 to 769 of the family's 1533-position model. The record is from RNAcentral.